GUGCCAGCCGCCGCGGUAAUACAGAGGGUGCGAGCGUUGUCCGGAAUCACUGGGCGUAAAGGGCGCGUAGGUGGCCCGACAAGUCACUGGUGAAAGCUCGACGCUCAACGUCGAGUCGGCCAGUGAUACUGUUGGGCUGGAGCACUGUAGAGGCUCAUGGAAUUCCGGGUGUAGCGGUGGAAUGCGUAGAGAUCCGGAAGAACACCGGUGGCGAAGGCGGUGAGCUGGGCAGUAGCUGACACUGAGGCGCGACAGCGUGGGGAGCAAACAGGAUUAGAUACCCUGGUAGUCC
RNAcentral lists this ribosomal RNA (292 nucleotides) under uncultured bacterium. RNAcentral describes it as "partial 16S ribosomal RNA". It matches the Rfam family "Bacterial small subunit ribosomal RNA", at positions 505 to 796 of the family's 1533-position model. The record is from RNAcentral.